Molecule: unclassified non-coding RNA, 2628 nt
Filed under: Gigantopelta aegis
Lineage: Eukaryota; Metazoa; Mollusca; Gastropoda; Neomphalida; Peltospiridae
Description: exocyst complex component 6B-like, transcript variant X1
Source: RNAcentral
GCUACUUGGAAAUCAUUGAACUUAAAAGUGGAAAGUGUUCAGACUUUGCAUCAGGAAGCAGUCACUGCCCAACAUGAUCACUUAAUUACCGAAAUAGAAACCUCAGAAGGCCCAUUAGCUACCACAUUAAGAGCUGUUUAUGAUGGAGAUGAGUUGGAGAAGUUUCAGCAGAGGCUGGCGAGUCGGAUCAAGAGCCAUGACAAAGAGAUUGAGCGUAUGUGUAACUACCACUACCAGGGCUUCAUCGACUCCAUCCGUGAACUGCAGCAAGUGAGCGGGGAUGCUGCUGCACUUAAGGAUGAAAUCAGUGGUGUUGAUUCUGAACUGCAGGGAUCCUGUAGUCCUUUGCUGGCCAAAGGAGAUCAGCUUGUUAAGAGUCGAAAGAUUCAGAAAAAUAUCACUGCUGCAAUUGAGAAUUUGUCACUGUGUCUACCAGUUUUGGAGAUGUAUGGCAAACUGCAAGAACAGAUGAAAAGUAAAAGAUAUUAUCCUGCCUUGAAGACACUUGAACAGUUGGAGCACACCUACCUGCCGAGGGUUAUGAGUCACUGGUUCUCGGAGACCAUGUGCGAAGCUAUCCCCAAGUUGAGGGAGCAGAUUAAAGAAGCUUCCAUGACUGAACUGAAGGACUUUCUGGAAAGUAUUCGCAAGCACUCUACUAAGAUUGGAGAGCUGGCCAUGAAACAUGCAGCAGAACAGAACAACCUAGACCCAGCGAUUGUUGUGCAGAAAACGAAGAAGCGGAGAGCCCCUCCUCCACCAAAUCCAUUUACUGGAGAGGUGGAGAGAGUCCCUGAAAUUUUUAGAGAUGAUUCGUUCGAGGGCGAAGAGGAAUUGAGUGCUCAAGACAUGGUAGAUUUUUCUCCUGUGUACCGGUGUUUGCACAUAUAUUCUGUUUUGGGUGAUAAAGAAAAAUUUGAAAGUUACUAUCGUCAACAGCGGUGGAAGCAAGCACGGUUAUCUCUGCAACCUCCACCAGGAAUGCAUGAAAGUGCAGAUGCCUACAGACGUUAUUUUCAUGAAAUCAUAGGGUUCUUUGUUGUAGAAGAUCACAUACUUCACACAUCCCAAGGUCUGGUAACUCGGGCCUACAUGGAUGAGCUGUGGGAGAAAGCUGUAGAGAAAAUAGUUGCAACGUUACGUUCCACUGCUACAAAACUUGCCAACCAAACACCUUGGAAUGCACAGAAAUCCUGUAAAGUAGCCAGCCUGAUGUUAGAGAUUAAAAAGUUGAUAGUGCUGUUUUGCCAUACGCUGAAGGGCUAUGGCUUCAGUGUAGGAAGACUGUUAGAGCUUCUCUUAGAAAUGAGGGACAGAUACAGUGAGAUUCUUUCUGAGCAGUGGGUGGAUAUUUUUAACAACAUCUUUCAUAAAGACAACUACACGCCCAUCUACUGUGAGUCAGAAGCAGAGUUUGUUGACAUAACAUCACAGAUGCCUUGUCCCGACAAAGCCCUUUACCAGGCUCCAUUUCCACGCCAUUUUCCAUAUUCUCGGUUUGUGCCCAGUAUUUAUAAUGAAGUCAAAGAAUACAUCAAUGCCUGUUUGAAAUUCUCAGCAGAUCUCCACUUGAGUCACACAGAAAUCGAUGACAUGAUUCGGAAAUCAGCCAACCAACUGCUGACGACCACUCUUGGUCAGUGCUUAUCUAAGCUGAUUAAGAAACCCAAUCUUAGCUUAAUACAGUUAAUACAAAUUUCUAUCAACAUGAAUUACCUGGAAAAGUCUUGUGUGAGUUUGGAAAAAUAUAUUUCCAGUAUUACGGGUGCUGAAAAAGAUAGUGUUCAUGUUGCCAGACUGCAUGGAACAUCAAUGUUUAAGGAUGCUAGAGAUGAUGCAGAACAGCAUAUUUACCAAUCCCUAAACAAAAAAAUAGAUGAAUUCCUUGAUUUAGCUAACUAUGACUGGAUGCUAAUGGAGUCGCACGGUCACCCCAGUGGCUACAUCAUGGAUCUGAUUGCCUUUCUCCAAAGUACCUUCAUGUCUUUCACAAACCUCCCGGAGAAGGUUGCCAGAACAGCAUGCAUGUCAGCUUGUCAGCAUAUUGCAUCGGUUAUGAUGACUUUCCUGCAGGACAACGAAGUUCGUCAAAUUACAAUGGCCUCUUUGCAGCAAUUUAACCUUGACCUUAUUCAGUGUGAGCAAUUUACUGCAUCAGAAACAGUGCCUGGAUCCAAUGAUGGGACGCUCGAGCUGGCAUUUGCUGAUUUGAGACAGGUCAGAAAUUUAUGGAUGUAACAGUUGUCAAACUGAAAUCUUGAGUAUGUUUUUAAUAUUCAAACAAUUAAAAUAUAUAAUCCAAAAAUUGAUUAGCUAUGGUUGGCUUCUAAUUCAUAAUAUUUUACUCUUCUUUUUUUUUUUGCUUUUUUUUUUGUUGUUAUGAAGAUGCACAUUAUAACCAUUAAUAAUAAAUGGUUUGAGAGGUUUUGUGUUUUGCUUCAAACUUUGUUAAAUUGCUAAUUGUUUAUGUUUUUCAUUACAGUUGAUAGAUCUGUUCAUCAACUGGGAUUGGUCUGUGUACUUGGCAGACUAUGGGAAACAGCAGUCAAAGUACCUGAGAGUUCCCCGGCAUUCGGCUAUCAGUAUACUUGAGAAAUUAAACAAUGGUGAUAAGAAGAAAAACAAUCU